CCUCACGGGCCGACCCUCACAAAUUCUCAGUGGCUCAGAUCUACAUCGCAAGGGUUGGCCUCUCCAGUGCUCCACACCCUUUCCUGUUGGGUCCUCCUUCCUUGGCUCCUCGCCUCCCAAUAAUUCUAGCAUCGAUAGAUGAUCUUCAUCUUCACUAAGAUAAAGGGAACGGAUCAUGUGUGAGGACAUCGGCACCGUCGAGGGGAAAGGUGCUCCCGGACGACACCAAGGUGCGUGCUCGUGGUAUGGUGUCGUACCAGCCCAGUCCACACAGGGAAGACGGAGUACAACCCCGCUGUCGCUAGCUUCUGGUUAGAUCGAUGGAUCGGCGGCGACGGCGCUCGGCAAAACAUCACUGUUCAAGGAAGGGCUGCGAUCUACAUGAGCAAAUACAUGGUGUACCUGCAGAUGAAGAUGGCGCUAGCCAUCCUAUUCAGGAUUGCACUGAUUUUUCUGAAGACAUGUGAAGAAAUUAUCUCGCACCAAUCUCCUUUGAUGGUUACUUUUGUUGUUACAUUCUUCUUAAUGAUGGACAACUCUAACCUGCUAGCCACGUUAUGGUGAUACAAAUCUCCUUUGAUGGCCAUGGCUAAUACUGCUCGAUGGUGACAUUUACCACAUAUCGCGGAUGCGUUAGCUAGAGAUGGUUGUCACUGUUUCCAUGCUCAAGGCGAUCAACUUGGAGACUAUUUAAUUAAUGAUUUAUAUUUGCAGAAGCUGGAUGACACCAUACAUUACAACCUUUCUCCCAUAUUUGAAACUUGGAAAAGUCCGAAGUGGUUCCAGAGCGCGGAGAUACAUUUUAGUCGUCUUGGUAUGUUAGAAGAGGUACCAUGUUUAGAUCAAUGUUUUGGUUUAUCGCUUACGAGAGAUUUUGAAAUGCAUACACACAAAUGAUGCAAUUUCUAAGCCAUGUGCUCAUACUGAUAUGAUAAUAAGAUUCUUCCUUUAGUUAUGUUUUUGCUAUGUUGUCAUUCCUUUUGCUGAUUUGAGUAGUUUGGUUGACAUGUGAUUCUCGGGUGGUGUUGCCUGGGAUUAUGAUGUUAGUUCCUCAACUCAGCAUCAAGAGAAUUGAUUGUAACAUGUUGGUUUCAAAGUAUGUUCUGACCAAAAAUUUGAGUUGCUCUUCCAGAA
Triticum aestivum (bread wheat) is the source of this 1134-nucleotide long non-coding RNA. RefSeq lists it as uncharacterized. The record is from RefSeq and is a predicted model, not a curated record. The transcript has 6 exons. NCBI's taxonomy places the organism in Eukaryota, Viridiplantae, Streptophyta, Magnoliopsida, Poales, Poaceae.